GGGCAGUCAGGUUUCGUUAUCAUCGGGAUGAGGUUCUCCUCCUGUUCCCAACGGGGACGUGGGGGCUCAUAAGGACCAUCACAAGGGUCUCUCCCCCCAUCCGAUCUAAAAGAACUGGGCCUUCGACUUUGCUCAUGUCUGGAUGAGGUUCUCCUCCUAUUCCUGACAUGGCCGUGGGGGCACAUUAGGGCGUUACAAGGCCUCUCCCCCCAUCCGAUCUAAAAGAACCGGGCCUUUGACUUUGCUCAUGUCAGGACGAGGUUCUCCUCCUGUU
Molecule: long non-coding RNA, 274 nt
Filed under: Elaeis guineensis (African oil palm)
Lineage: Eukaryota; Viridiplantae; Streptophyta; Magnoliopsida; Arecales; Arecaceae
Description: long non-coding RNA (EGUI_LNC073659)
Source: RNAcentral